This is a long non-coding RNA of Arabidopsis lyrata subsp. lyrata, 425 nucleotides long. RefSeq lists it as uncharacterized. NCBI's taxonomy places the organism in Eukaryota, Viridiplantae, Streptophyta, Magnoliopsida, Brassicales, Brassicaceae. The record is from RefSeq and is a predicted model, not a curated record. The transcript is spliced from 2 exons.
AGCAAGAGAUGAUCUAUCUGCAUGAAUUUGAUCAAUGCUUGAGGUUAUUACCAAUGAAGCAAGGUAAUUCUUCUUCCUUGGGACAAGUAGGCUUCAGCACAGUAGCUAGAAGUGGUGGUGAUGCUUUGAGACCAACUUCAUGAAUGGAGACGAGUUCUUCUUUCUUUUGUACCAGGGGACAAAGAUGAACUUGUGUCUCAAGUUUUUUAAUAUGAUAAAUAUAGUUUAUGUCUCAAGUUUUGUAAAAGACUUUUACAAAUUUUUUCAAAAAUUUAAAUUUUUGGAUCCUCAAUUUUGGAUCUACCAUUGGAGUGUGAAAAAAAUAAAAAACUAACUAAGUGUCUAAAUUUCAAAUUUUGCAUUAUUUACAAUUAUAAAUAUGGUUUGGACUCCUAAUGUGAGUCCAGCCAUUGGAGAUACUCUUA